UUGAAGCCUCGUCUCUUAGACGUGAAUCUGCUGAAACUCAUAAGUGUGUUGAUUGGGCGAGAGAGAUGAAUCUGAACAUGAAUUCAAUGGAAUCAGUGGUUGCUCAAAUCCAAGGGCUAUCGAGCAAUUCAUCAGACAUAACUCAGCUUCACAACUUUCUCAAACAAUCGGAAGAGCUACUCCAUUCCGACUUCUCUCGCUUGCUUUCUUCUCUCGCUGAACUCGAUCCUUCUAUUCACUCCCUAGGUUUUCUCUAUAUUCUGGAGGCAUGCAUCUCAUUCCCAGUUGCAAAGGAGCAUGUUAGUGAACUGCUUGUUUCUGUCGCUAGAUUUAUCAAUUCAUGUUCUACAGAGCAAAUCCAGUUGGCGCCCAAUAAGUUCAUUUCUGUUUGUAAAAAGUUCAAGGAUCAUGUUUUCGGACUGGAAACUCCGAUUCGUGGUGUGGCUCCAAUGCUGACUGCUAUUCGUAAACUGCAAUCCUCCCCUGAGCAAUUAACAACAUUGCAUGCCGAUUUUCUUCUUCUUUGUCUAUUAGCAAAGUGCUACAAAACUGGCUUCUCUGUGCUGGAGGAUGACAUAUAUGAGAUUGAUCAGCCACGGGAGUUUUUUCUCUAUUGUUACUACGGGGGAAUGGUUUGCAUUGGACAAAAGCAGUUCCGCAAAGCAUUGGAACUCUUGCACAAUGUUGUGACUGCACCUAUGUCUACUCUAAAUGCAAUAGCAGUUGAAGCUUACAAAAAGUACAUUCUGGUUUCACUGAUUCAUCUUGGGCAGUUCUCUACCAGUUUUCCCAAGUACACUUCUUCCGUGGCUCAAAGGAACUUGAAGAAUUUCUCUCAGCCCUACCUGGAGUUAUCAAACAGUUAUGGGACUGGAAGAAUCUCUGAACUUGAAACAUUUGUUCAAACAAACAAGGAGAAGUUUGAAAGCGAUAAUAAUCUUGGAUUAGUGAUGCAAGUAGUGUCUUCUAUGUAUAAGCGCAAUAUUCAGCGGUUAACUCAAACGUACCUAACUCUCUCCCUCCAAGAUAUUGCUAACACUGUCCAGCUAAGAGACCCCAAACAGGCAGAAAUGCAUGUGCUUCAGAUGAUUGAAGAUGGUGAGAUAUAUGCAACAAUCAAUCAGAAGGAUGGUAUGGUUAGAUUUCUGGAGGAUCCUGAGCAGUAUAAAACGUGUGGAAUGAUUGAACAUAUCGAUUCAUCAAUUAAGAGAUUGAUGGCAGUGUCGAAAAAGUUGACGUCUAUGGAUGAACUUAUGUCAUGUGAUCCUAUGUACCUAGGAAAGGUUGGUAGGGAGAGACAGAGAUUUGAUUUUGAUGAUUUUGACGGUGUUCCUCAGAAAUUCACUAUCUGAGACUAGCAAAGUUCAGUUUUCUGAGUAAAUAUGGCAAAUGAUGCUGAUAUGUUCAUUUGAAAUAUAAGCAAACUUUAUUCCAUUGACCUCAAGAAAUGGCUAAGGAAAUAGGUGUAUUUAACUCCUGGUUCAAUCAGUGGUAUCAUGUUUGUUUUAUUUGCCCUUCUGCUUUUCGUUUUGUGUGGGCAGGUUGAACUGCUUGCUCUAGUUUUAUUUUACUAUCUAGCAAGGGAACUGUUUAGUUGUAGUUAGAGGCUAGGAGGAUGAUAAUGUUCAUCUUCUUUAGUGGACAUUGGUGUUUUAGUUAAUUUGUUUUGUAGUAGCAAGUUCCUCGAAUGGUUAGAGAUCUCCCAGUUUUUAGUUAUUACAAAA
This 1724-nucleotide unclassified non-coding RNA is filed under the name Hevea brasiliensis (rubber tree). The record is from RNAcentral. Lineage: Eukaryota; Viridiplantae; Streptophyta; Magnoliopsida; Malpighiales; Euphorbiaceae.